Long non-coding RNA from Alosa sapidissima (American shad), 267 nucleotides. RefSeq lists it as uncharacterized. The record is from RefSeq and is a predicted model, not a curated record. Lineage: Eukaryota; Metazoa; Chordata; Actinopteri; Clupeiformes; Clupeidae. The transcript has 3 exons.
ACAUAUCAUGUAAACACAGAUGAACACAUCAGAAUACAUACAGAAAUACCCCAGAUUUCUACAGUCCCCCCUCUUGAUCAAUUAAAAAACACAGAUUUUUAUAGAUCAUACAAAACAAAUAAAAGGAGUCUGAUGUGGUCUAAAGAACAGAGGACAAACCAAGACAAGAUUACUUCUCUAGCACUUUGAAAAGGAGGAAGUGCCGGUGUCUUAAAAGAAAAACAUAAUAACUGAUUUCGUUCCGGAGGAUUGUCUCACACAUAAAAA